CUGAAAGCUAAGGAUGACCACUCUUUGG
RNAcentral lists this non-coding RNA (28 nucleotides) under Mus musculus (house mouse). Lineage: Eukaryota; Metazoa; Chordata; Mammalia; Rodentia; Muridae. The record is from RNAcentral.